RNAcentral lists this ribosomal RNA (497 nucleotides) under uncultured bacterium. RNAcentral's name for it is "partial 16S ribosomal RNA". It matches the Rfam family "Bacterial small subunit ribosomal RNA", at positions 28 to 507 of the family's 1533-position model. The record is from RNAcentral.
GAUGAACGCUGGCGGCGUGCCUAAUACAUGCAAGUCGAGCGAACGGACGAGAAGCUUGCUUCUCUGAUGUUAGCGGCGGACGGGUGAGUAACAUGUGGAUAACCUACCUAUAAGACUGGGAUAACUUCGGGAAACCGUAGCUAAUACCGGAUAAUAUUUUGAACCGCAUGGUUCAAAAGUGAAAGACGGUCUUGCUGUCACUUAUAGAUGGAUCCGCGCUGCAUUAGCUAGUUGGUAAGGUAACGGCUUACCAAGGCAACGAUGCAUAGCCGACCUGAGAGGGUGAUCGGCCACACUGGAUCUGAGACACGGUCCAGACUCCUACGGGAGGCAGCAGUAGGGAAUCUUCCGCAAUGGGCGAAAGCCUGACGGAGCAACGCCGCGUGAGUGAUGAAGGUCUUCGGAUCGUAAAACUCUGUUAUUAGGGAAGAACAUAUGUGUAAGUAACUGUGCACAUCUUGACGGUACCUAAUCAGAAAGCCACGGCUAACUACGUG